GUGUUUUAAAGGUGUUUCACGUUUGUCAAGGAGCGCUACAAGGGAAACCAUACCCUCCCUGUGAAUUUAAUGCAGCCAAUGAGAAAUCACAGACUACGCAUGUAGGUCCAGUGCUCCAGUAAGCAGAAGACGGAGAACAGUCUCCAGAAGUGAAAAGCACUAUCGUGUGAUUCCACACCUUCUCAGUGAGAAGCAUCAGG
Colossoma macropomum (tambaqui) is the source of this 200-nucleotide long non-coding RNA. RefSeq lists it as uncharacterized. The transcript has 3 exons. Lineage: Eukaryota; Metazoa; Chordata; Actinopteri; Characiformes; Serrasalmidae. The record is from RefSeq and is a predicted model, not a curated record.